Non-coding RNA from Nicotiana tabacum (common tobacco), 208 nucleotides. The record is from RefSeq and is a predicted model, not a curated record. Lineage: Eukaryota; Viridiplantae; Streptophyta; Magnoliopsida; Solanales; Solanaceae.
GUGAGAAGCAUCCAGGACUUCAGACACUGAAGAGCAUUGACUUGUCUCCUGCAAGUUGGAUGGCUGUUGCUUGGUACCCAAUCUACCAUGUACCAAUGAAGGGAAUUACCCAAAAUAUAUCAACAUACUUCCUUACUUAUCAUACAUUAUCAGCAUCAUUUCAAGAUGACUUUGAUGAUGACAUAUGUAAAGAUCUUCCUAUUGAAAA